CAGCCGCCGCGGGAAUACGUAGGGUGCAAGCGUUGAUCGGAAUUACUGGGCGUAAAGCGUGCGCAGGCGGUUAUAUAAGUCAGAUGUGAAAUCCCCGGGCUCAACCUGGGAACUGCAUUUGAGACUGUAUGGCUAGAGUGUGUCAGAGGGGGGUAGAAUUCCACGUGUAGCAGUGAAAUGCGUAGAUAUGUGGAGGAAUAUCGAUGGCGAAGGCAGCCCCCUGGGAUAACACUGACGCUCAUGCACGAAAGCGUGGGGAGCAAACAGGAUUAGAUACCCCUGUAGUCCCUGUCUCUUAUAC
This 301-nucleotide ribosomal RNA is filed under the name uncultured bacterium. Its description in RNAcentral is "partial 16S ribosomal RNA". It matches the Rfam family "Bacterial small subunit ribosomal RNA", at positions 509 to 807 of the family's 1533-position model. The record is from RNAcentral.